GCCUCCAAUCUUCUCCUCAGCCAUAACCUGCGUUUUCUCCUUCCAAGAGACCAGCCCGCCGCAAGGUAUGGAGACCGACGCUCGCAGGUUUCGAAACAUGGUUUCUUUCAGCCACCGGGUUCCCUUCAAACCCCGAUUUCGACGAAGCUAAAGGGAAUCCGCGGCUCAAUCUCAAGGUAAGUCCCCUUUUUCCUUUCUUUUUUUUUUUGAAUGUAAAAAUGAUAAAAAUAAAAACGGAGGAAAUAACAAAUAGAAUCGAGGAACAAAGAUCACCUUCUCAAGAAGUGACUCUCUGAUUUUUAAGCAAACUGUAUUGUGUAUGUAUUGUGUGUUUGUAUUCUCUGUGAAUGUACGUUACAACUGAUGAAAUCCCCUGGCUUUAUAGCUGAAUCGGGUAAAAGAAAAAUGAAAAAAUGGAAAUACAAUAUUCCUCGUUGUUUUUUGUCUGUUUUUGCUACGUGGUUGUUCCUUUCUUCACAGGUACAGGUGUGCGUCGGCGUACGGGGUGUGGCGCCAGGAGGCUGAGGCAUACGGAGGCAUGGAGCUACCGUUCAGUUGCUGUUGCAGCGCAGGAGAAAGGGGGUGGCUUAGGGUUUGUCUGGGUUUAAUGUUCUGGGCCUAUUGGGCCCUGUAAAUUGUAAUUUUGGGUUUGUAAUAUUUUGGGUUUAAAAUUGGGUUAUGUAACUUGGACUGAUGGACUUUUAUUGGACUGUUAAUAAAACUUGGGUUUUAAAUUUAUUUAUUUAUUUAUUUAUUUUUACUAUUUAGUU
Molecule: long non-coding RNA, 770 nt
Filed under: Gossypium barbadense (sea-island cotton)
Lineage: Eukaryota; Viridiplantae; Streptophyta; Magnoliopsida; Malvales; Malvaceae
Description: long non-coding RNA (GBAR_LNC000574)
Source: RNAcentral